This 253-nucleotide ribosomal RNA is filed under the name uncultured bacterium. RNAcentral describes it as "partial 16S ribosomal RNA". It matches the Rfam family "Bacterial small subunit ribosomal RNA", at positions 524 to 776 of the family's 1533-position model. The record is from RNAcentral.
UACGGAGGGUGCAAGCGUUACUCGGAAUCACUGGGCGUAAAGGACACGUAGGCGGGUUAUCAAGUCAGGUGUGAAAUCCUACAGCUUAACUGUAGAACUGCACUUGAAACUGGUAACCUAGAGUAUGGGAGGGGGAGAUGGAAUUAGUGGUGUAGGGGUAAAAUCCGUAGAUAUCACUAGGAAUACCGAAAGCGAAGGCGAUCUCCUGGAACAUAACUGACGCUAAGGUGUGAAAGCGUGGGGAGCAAACGGG